Molecule: ribosomal RNA, 1074 nt
Filed under: Ampelomyces sp. ATCC 201056
Lineage: Eukaryota; Fungi; Ascomycota; Dothideomycetes; Pleosporales; Phaeosphaeriaceae
Description: SSU rRNA
Rfam family: Eukaryotic small subunit ribosomal RNA
Source: RNAcentral
AAGUCAUAUGCUUGUCUCAAAGAUUAAGCCAUGCAUGUCUAAGUAUAAGCAAUUAUACCGUGAAACUGCGAAUGGCUCAUUAAAUCAGUUAUCGUUUAUUUGAUAGUACCUUACUACUUGGACAACCGUGGUAAUUCUAGAGCUAAUACAUGCUAAAAACCUCAACUUCGGGAGGGGUGUAUUUAUUAGAUAAAAAACCAACGCCCUUCGGGGCUUCUUGGUGAUUCAUGAUAACUUUACGGAUCGCAUGGCCUUGCGCCGGCGACGGUUCAUUCAAAUUUCUGCCCUAUCAACUUUCGAUGGUAAGGUAUUGGCUUACCAUGGUUUCAACGGGUAACGGGGAAUUAGGGUUCGAUUCCGGAGAGGGAGCCUGAGAAACGGCUACCACAUCCAAGGAAGGCAGCAGGCGCGCAAAUUACCCAAUCCCGACACGGGGAGGUAGUGACAAUAAAUACUGAUACAGGGCUCUUUUGGGUCUUGUAAUUGGAAUGAGUACAAUUUAAACCUCUUAACGAGGAACAAUUGGAGGGCAAGUCUGGUGCCAGCAGCCGCGGUAAUUCCAGCUCCAAUAGCGUAUAUUAAAGUUGUUGCAGUUAAAAAGCUCGUAGUUGAAACUUGGGUCUGGCUGGCAGGUCCGCCUCACCGCGUGUACUUGUCCGGCCGGGCCUUCCUUCUGGAGAACCUCAUGCCCUUUACUGGGCGUGUUGGGGACCAGGACUUUUACUUUGAAAAAAUUAGAGUGUUCAAAGCAGGCCUUUGCUCGAAUACGUUAGCAUGGAAUAAUAGAAUAGGACGUGCGGUCCUAUUUUGUUGGUUUCUAGGACCGCCGUAAUGAUUAAUAGGGACAGUCGGGGGCAUCAGUAUUCAAUUGUCAGAGGUGAAAUUCUUGGAUUUAUUGAAGACUAACUACUGCGAAAGCAUUUGCCAAGGAUGUUUUCAUUAAUCAGUGAACGAAAGUUAGGGGAUCGAAGACGAUCAGAUACCGUCGUAGUCUUAACCGUAAACUAUGCCGACUAGGGAUCGGGCGAUGUUCUUUUUCUGACUCGCUCGGCACCUUACGAGAAAUCAAAGUUU